UAUGGAGGGUGCAAGCGUUAUCCGGAUUCACUGGGUUUAAAGGGUGCGUAGGUGGGUUGGUAAGUCAGUGGUGAAAUCCCCGAGCUUAACUUGGGAACUGCCAUUGAUACUAUCAGUCUUGAAUACCGUGGAGGUUAGCGGAAUAUGUCAUGUAGCGGUGAAAUGCUUAGAUAUGACAUAGAACACCAAUUGCGAAGGCAGCUGGCUACACGAAUAUUGACACUGAGGCACGAAAGCGUGGGGAGCAAACAGG
RNAcentral lists this ribosomal RNA (253 nucleotides) under uncultured bacterium. RNAcentral's name for it is "partial 16S ribosomal RNA". It matches the Rfam family "Bacterial small subunit ribosomal RNA", at positions 524 to 776 of the family's 1533-position model. The record is from RNAcentral.